GUUCACCAGGCUGAGCUGGUGAGAUGGUAGGCACGAGUUUAGGAUCACUACAUGGACUUCCUGCAAAUUCAAGAAAGGUACAUGAGUGGCAGGAAAAUCAGUCACGAGUCCAUCAACCCUAGCAGUUUGGACAUAAGUAGCGAUCUCAAUAUUAGGAUCUGACCAAUAGUCAAAGGCCAGGGACGUGUAUUCAUUUCUGAGAGUACGUAUGAAAACUGUGAGGUUUGCAUCUCUCAACUCUUU
Lupinus albus (white lupine) is the source of this 243-nucleotide non-coding RNA. Lineage: Eukaryota; Viridiplantae; Streptophyta; Magnoliopsida; Fabales; Fabaceae. The record is from the annotation of a GenBank genome assembly.